Molecule: signal recognition particle RNA, 74 nt
Filed under: Hahella chejuensis KCTC 2396
Lineage: Bacteria; Pseudomonadati; Pseudomonadota; Gammaproteobacteria; Oceanospirillales; Hahellaceae
Description: Bacterial small signal recognition particle RNA
Rfam family: Bacterial small signal recognition particle RNA
About the family: The signal recognition particle (SRP) is a universally conserved ribonucleoprotein involved in the co-translational targeting of proteins to membranes. Archaeal SRP consists of a 7S RNA and homologues of the eukaryotic SRP19 and SRP54 proteins.
Source: Rfam by way of RNAcentral
CCGUGAACCUGGUCAGGCCCGGAAGGGAGCAGCCACAGCGGUGGAUCUGUGUGCCGGGGUGUGGCUGGUAGGGC